Molecule: unclassified non-coding RNA, 395 nt
Filed under: uncultured Agaricomycetes
Lineage: Eukaryota; Fungi; Basidiomycota; Agaricomycetes
Description: sequence contains ITS2
Rfam family: 5.8S ribosomal RNA (bases 1-154)
Source: RNAcentral
AACUUUUAGCAAUGGAUCUCUGGGCUCUCGCAUCGAUGAAGGACGCGGCGAAAUGCGAUAAGUAAUGUGAAUUGCAGAUUUCAGUGAAUCAUCGAAUCUUUGAACGCACCUUGCGCUCCUAGGUCUUCCGAGGAGCAUGCCUGUUUGAGUGCCCAGAAUCAAUCUCGUCCUACACUUGUUGUGGGUCGGAAAUGGGAGCAUGCUGUCGACCCGUUCACAGCUCUUCCCAAAUAUGUUAGCUGUUGGUGAUGAACCACUGUAGGCUUGAUAUAACGUCUAUGCCGCAGUUGUACGUGUACCAUGGCUUAUAGUCGUCUUCGGACAAUAUUCUGAGCUCGGGCCUCAAAUCAGGUAGGACUACCCGCUGAACUUAAGCAUAUCAAUAAGCGGAGGCU